CGUGGGGAACCUGCCCCAUAGUCUGGGAUACCACUUGGAAACAGGUGCUAAUACCGGAUAAGAAAGCAGAUCGCAUGAUCAGCUUUUAAAAGGCGGCGUAAGCUGUCGCUAUGGGAUGGCCCCGCGGUGCAUUAGCUAGUUGGUAAGGUAAAGGCUUACCAAGGCGAUGAUGCAUAGCCGAGUUGAGAGACUGAUCGGCCACAUUGGGACUGAGACACGGCCCAAACUCCUACGGGAGGCAGCAGAC
RNAcentral lists this ribosomal RNA (247 nucleotides) under uncultured Lactobacillus sp. RNAcentral describes it as "partial 16S ribosomal RNA". It matches the Rfam family "Bacterial small subunit ribosomal RNA", at positions 116 to 354 of the family's 1533-position model. Lineage: Bacteria; Bacillati; Bacillota; Bacilli; Lactobacillales; Lactobacillaceae. The record is from RNAcentral.